GAUGAACGCUGGCGGCGUGCCUAAUACAUGCAAGUCGAGCGAACGGACGAGAAGCUUGCUUCUCUGAUGUUAGCGGCGGACGGGUGAGUAGCACGUGGAUAACCUACCUAUAAGACUGGGAUAACUUCGGGAAACCGGAGCUAAUACCGGAUAAUAUUUUGAACCGCAUGGUUCAAAAGUGAAAGACGGUCUUGCUGUCACUUAUAGAUGGAUCCGCGCUGCAUUAGCUAGUUGGUAAGGUAACGGCUUACCAAGGCAACGAUGCAUAGCCGACCUGAGAGGGUGAUCGGCCACACUGGAACUGAGACACGGUCCAGACUCCUACGGGAGGCAGCAGUAGGGAAUCUUCCGCAAUGGGCGAAAGCCUGACGGAGCAACGCCGCGUGAGUGAUGAAGGUCUUCGGAUCGUAAAACUCUGUUAUUAGGGAAGAACAUAUGUGUAAGUAACUGUGCACAUCUUGACGGUACCUAAUCAGAAAGCCACGGCUAACUACGUGCCAGCAGCCGCGGUAAUACGUAGGUGGCAAGCGUUAUCCGGAAUUAUUGGGCGUAAAGCGCGCGUAGGCGGUUUUUUAAGUCUGAUGUGAAAGCCCACGGCUCAACCGUGGAGGGUCAUUGGAAACUGGAAAACUUGAGUGCAGAAGAGGAAAGUGGAAUUCCAUGUGUAGCGGUGAAAUGCGCAGAGAUAUGGAGGAACACCAGUGGCGAAGGCGACUUUCUGGUCUGUAACUGACGCUGAUGUGCGAAAGCGUGGGGAUCAAACAGGAUUAGAUACCCUGGUAGUCCACGCCGUAAACGAUGAGUGCUAAGUGUUAGGGGGUUUCCGCCCCUUAGUGCUGCAGCUAACGCAUUAAGCACUCCGCCUGGGGAGUACGACCGCAAGGUUGAAACUCAAAGGAAUUGACGGGGACCCGCACAAGCGGUGGAGCAUGUGGUUUAAUUCGAAGCAACGCGAAGAACCUUACCAAAUCUUGACAUCCUUUGACAACUCUAGAGAUAGAGCCUUCCCCUUCGGGGGACAAAGUGACAGGUGGUGCAUGGUUGUCGUCAGCUCGUGUCGUGAGAUGUUGGGUUAAGUCCCGCAACGAGCGCAACCCUUAAGCUUAGUUGCCAUCAUUAAGUUGGGCACUCUAAGUUGACUGCCGGUGACAAACCGGAGGAAGGUGGGGAUGACGUCAAAUCAUCAUGCCCCUUAUGAUUUGGGCUACACACGUGCUACAAUGGACAAUACAAAGGGCAGCGAAACCGCGAGGUCAAGCAAAUCCCAUAAAGUUGUUCUCAGUUCGGAUUGUAGUCUGCAACUCGACUACAUGAAGCUGGAAUCGCUAGUAAUCGUAGAUCAGCAUGCUACGGUGAAUACGUUCCCGGGUCU
RNAcentral lists this ribosomal RNA (1372 nucleotides) under uncultured bacterium. RNAcentral's name for it is "bacterial SSU rRNA". It matches the Rfam family "Bacterial small subunit ribosomal RNA", at positions 28 to 1381 of the family's 1533-position model. The record is from RNAcentral.